AAGCCAGACUCCUACGGGAGGCAGCAGUGGGGAAUAUUGCACAAUGGGGGGAACCCUGAUGCAGCGACGCCGCGUGGGUGAAGGAGUACUUCGGUACGUAAAGCCCUAUCAGCAGGAAAGAAAAUGACGGUACCUGACUAAGAAGCCCCGGCUAACUACGUGCCAGCAGCCGCGGUAAUACGUAGGGGGCGAGCGUUAUCCGGAUUUACUGGGUGUAAAGGGAGCGUAGACGGCAGUGCAAGUCCGGAGUGAAAGCCCGGGGCUCAACCCUGGGACUGCUCUGGAAACUGUAAAGCUGGAGUGCGGGAGGGGCAGGCGGAAUUCCUGGUGUAGCGGUGAAAUGCGUAGAUAUCAGGAGGAACACCGGCGGCGAAGGCGGCCUGCUGGACCGUAACUGACGUUGAGGCUCGAAAGCGUGGGGAGCAAACAGGAUUAGAUACCCGAGUA
Molecule: ribosomal RNA, 447 nt
Filed under: uncultured bacterium
Lineage: Bacteria
Description: bacterial SSU rRNA
Rfam family: Bacterial small subunit ribosomal RNA
Source: RNAcentral